GCCGGGCGUGGUGGCUCACGCCUGUAAUCCCAGCACUUUGGGAGGCCAAGGCAGGUGGAUCACCUGAGGUCGGGAGUUUGAGACCAGCCUGACUGACAUGGUGAAACCCUGUCUUUA
This 117-nucleotide non-coding RNA is filed under the name Homo sapiens (human). The record is from Rfam by way of RNAcentral. Lineage: Eukaryota; Metazoa; Chordata; Mammalia; Primates; Hominidae.